CAGCGCCACAAGUGGGGACCAGUAUUAUUGGGCCUAAAGCGUCCGUAGCCGGAUACGUAAAUCCUUUGUGAAAUUGUUGGGCUUAACCUAACAGCGUGCAGAGGAGACUGCGAAUCUUGAGACCGGGAGGAGUCAGAGGUAUGCAUGGGGUAGUGGUAAAAUGCAAUAAUCCCUUGUAGACCACCUGUGGCGUAGGCGUCUGACUAGAACGGGUCUGACGGUGAGGGACGAAAGCUGGGGGAGCGAUCCGGAUUAGAUACCCGAGUAGUCC
RNAcentral lists this ribosomal RNA (271 nucleotides) under uncultured archaeon. Its description in RNAcentral is "partial 16S ribosomal RNA". It matches the Rfam family "Archaeal small subunit ribosomal RNA", at positions 477 to 747 of the family's 1478-position model. The record is from RNAcentral.